This is a non-coding RNA of Mesocricetus auratus (golden hamster), 103 nucleotides long. The record is from Rfam. Lineage: Eukaryota; Metazoa; Chordata; Mammalia; Rodentia; Cricetidae.
GCGCGCGCGCGCGCGCGCGCGCGAAAACUGAAAUGAUACAGAGAAGAUUAGCAUGGCCCCUGUACAAGGAUGAUUGCAAAUUCAUGAGGCGAUCCAUAUUUUA